This 447-nucleotide ribosomal RNA is filed under the name uncultured bacterium. Its description in RNAcentral is "bacterial SSU rRNA". It matches the Rfam family "Bacterial small subunit ribosomal RNA", at positions 328 to 792 of the family's 1533-position model. The record is from RNAcentral.
AUACCAGACUCCUACGGGAGGCAGCAGUGGGGAAUAUUGCACAAUGGGGGAAACCCUGAUGCAGCGACGCCGCGUGAGCGAUGAAGUAUUUCGGUAUGUAAAGCUCUAUCGGCAGGGAAGAAGAUGACGGUACCUGACUAAGAAGCCCCGGCUAACUACGUGCCAGCAGCCGCGGUAAUACGUAGGGGGCAAGCGUUGUCCGGAUUUACUGGGUGUAAAGGGCGUGUAGCCGGGCUGACAAGUCAGAUGUGAAAUCCGGGGGCUCAACCCCCGAACUGCAUUUGAAACUGUUGGUCUUGAGUAUCGGAGAGGCAGGCGGAAUUCCUAGUGUAGCGGUGAAAUGCGUAGAUAUUAGGAGGAACACCAGUGGCGAAGGCGGCCUACUGGACGGUGACUGACGCUGAGGCUCGAAAGCGUGGGGAGCAAACAGGAUUAGAUACCCGCGUA